GGAGUCUAGCAUGUGCGCGAGUCAUUGGGACUUUGCGAAACCUAAAGGCGAAAUGAAAGUGAAAGCGCGCCUUGCGCGCGCCGAGGGAGGAUGAGUGGUCUAUUUGACUGCUCCGCACUCCCGGGGCGUCUCGUUCUCAUCGCGAGAAGAGGCGCACCCAGAGCGUACACGCUGGGACCCGAAAGAUGGUGAACUAUGCCUGGUCAGGACGAAGUCAGGGGAAACCCUGAUGGAGGUCCGUAGCGAUUCUGACGUGCAAAUCGAUCGUCGGAACUGGGUAUAGGGGCGAAAGACUAAUCGAACCAUCUAGUAGCUGGUUCCCUCCGAAGUUUCCCUCAGGAUAGCUGGCGCUCGUUAACGGGCGAGUCUCAUCCGGUAAAGCGAAUGAUUAGAGGCAUUGGGGUCGAAACGGCCUCAACCUAUUCUCAAACUUUAAAUGGGUGAGAUCUCCGGCUUGCUUGAACGCAUGAAGCCGCGAGAUCGGAUCAGAGUGCCAAGUGGGCCACUUUUGGUAAGCAGAACUGGCGCUGUGGGAUGAACCAAACGCGGAGUUAAAGCGCCUAAAUCGACGCUUAUGGGAUACCAUGAAAGGCGUUGGUAACUUAAGACAGCAGGACGGUGGCCAUGGAA
This 630-nucleotide ribosomal RNA is filed under the name Negastriinae sp. UPOL RK0058. RNAcentral's name for it is "eukaryotic LSU rRNA". It matches the Rfam family "Eukaryotic large subunit ribosomal RNA", at positions 670 to 1259 of the family's 3401-position model. The record is from RNAcentral. Lineage: Eukaryota; Metazoa; Arthropoda; Insecta; Coleoptera; Elateridae.